RNAcentral lists this ribosomal RNA (447 nucleotides) under uncultured bacterium. Its description in RNAcentral is "bacterial SSU rRNA". It matches the Rfam family "Bacterial small subunit ribosomal RNA", at positions 470 to 916 of the family's 1533-position model. The record is from RNAcentral.
UGACAUUACCUGCAGAAUAAGCACCGGCUAACUCUGUGCCAGCAGCCGCGGUAAUACAGAGGGUGCAAGCGUUAAUCGGAAUUACUGGGCGUAAAGCGAGCGCAGGUGGCUUGAUAAGUCAGAUGUGAAAUCCCCGGGCUUAACCUGGGAACUGCAUCUGAAACUGUUAGGCUAGAGUAUGUGAGAGGGAAGUAGAAUUUCAGGUGUAGCGGUGAAAUGCGUAGAGAUCUGAAGGAAUACCGAUGGCGAAGGCAGCUUCCUGGCUUCAUACUGACACUGAUGCUCGAAAGCGUGGGUAGCAAACAGGAUUAGAUACCCUGGUAGUCCACGCCGUAAACGAUGUCUACUAGUCGUUGGGUCCCUUGAGGACUUAUUGACGCAGCUAACGCAAUAAGUACACCGCCUGGGGAGUACGGCCGCAAGGUUAAAACUCAAAUGAAUUGACGG